Molecule: ribosomal RNA, 524 nt
Filed under: uncultured bacterium
Lineage: Bacteria
Description: bacterial SSU rRNA
Rfam family: Bacterial small subunit ribosomal RNA
Source: RNAcentral
AGAGUUUGAUCAUGGCUCAGAUUGAACGCUGGCGGCAUGCCUUACACAUGCAAGUCGAACGCGAAAGCGGGGGCAACCCCGCAAGUAGAGUGGCGAACGGGUGAGUAAUACAUCGGAACGUGUCCAGUAGCGGGGGAUAACCUCUCGAAAGAGAGGCUAAUACCGCAUACGACCUACGGGUGAAAGAGGGGGAUCGCAAGACCUCUCACUAUUGGAGCGGCCGAUGUCGGAUUAGCUAGUUGGUGGGGUAAAGGCUUACCAAGGCGACGAUCCGUAGCUGGUCUGAGAGGACGACCAGCCACACUGGAACUGAGACACGGUCCAGACUCCUACGGGAGGCAGCAGUGGGGAAUUUUGGACAAUGGGGGCAACCCUGAUCCAGCCAUGCCGCGUGCGGGAAGAAGGCCUUCGGGUUGUAAACCGCUUUUAGCCGGGACGAAAGCUGUACGGAUAACACCCGUGCAGGUUGACGGUACCGGCGGAAUAAGCACCGGCUAACUACGUGCCAGCCGCCGCGGUAAUAC